GCCUAAAAUCUAGCCCCACCCACUCAUAUGCCUCUUUCAAUCAAUCAACUAAAAAUAAACCAUUUUAACUUCUUAGUACAGGCGAUCGAAAAAUUUCUAUGGCGCUUAAAAUUCAGUACCGCAAGGGAAUAGUGAAAUAAUAAUGAAACAACCUUAAAGCUUCAAAUAGCAGAGAAUUAACCUCG
RNAcentral lists this ribosomal RNA (185 nucleotides) under Meristogenys kinabaluensis (Kiau Borneo frog). RNAcentral describes it as "partial 16S ribosomal RNA". Lineage: Eukaryota; Metazoa; Chordata; Amphibia; Anura; Ranidae. The record is from RNAcentral.